ACGAGUUAGGGUCCUCUAGGCCCGACCUCCCAACCCUUUGCUUACCGAAUCUCUGUUGCUUCGGCGGGCCCGUCUCACGACCGUCGGAGGACCGCCGCAGGGCGUGUCCUCUAGCCCGUGUCCGCCGAUAGCCAACUACAAAACUCUGUAUAAAUCAUGUCUCAUGUCUAAGUCAAAUUGAAUUAAAAGCA
Molecule: unclassified non-coding RNA, 191 nt
Filed under: soil metagenome
Description: partial internal transcribed spacer 1
Source: RNAcentral